CACCAGGCCGAGUGUGUAUUCAUCGCACAUAUUCUUUGACCCCAGAGAGCAUCAGUCCACUCCCUUUCUCCCUUUCCUCCCAACCGAGCCCCCGCUCUGAUCUAUUCCGGGGGGUGUUGUGGCUAGGAGGGUGUGUGAGUGCGUUUGCAGCCCUGCCCAGUAAAAUACAGACUUUCCAAGGAAGUCGGCAAUAUAAUAUGGCCGCUUUAUUGUAAUUACAAGCUUCUCCUUUUGGAAAUAGCUCACCGAGAGAAAGCUGCCCACAGUUUUGAAUCGUCCUAAUCCCUGAAGUCUCUCUGGCUUGCGUUGACCCAGAUGUUUCACCACACCAGGCGGCUCUAUCAGCUGGAUGCGAGUCCCCCUCGACAUUACAACCUGUCAAGAUUCCGCCGCCGUCGCACUGGAUGAAGUGUGAGAAAGGAGUUUGGUGGGUGGCCACAUCUUAUGGAGCUUCCCUUCAGGGGAAUCUUGUGGUCUCUGGGUUCUUAUAACCCUGAAAUCACCGGCAAGCAAAUUAUAAGGCUUUAUUAAUCAAAUAUGUCUUGACUUUAAAGCGUAUUGGUGUAAUUGAAGGGUUCACAAUGACCUGUUGCACCCAUUUUCUCCUGGAAUAGACGAGUGGGAGCACCUGCCUUUUUGAUGUCAGGUUGUUCUACCCCGUCGUAACAUUUUAGCAGCCUCACCUCUCUGCGAAGUGGUCACUUGGUUCGUUCGAGACGAUGAAGUCAUGCUGCUUGCAAGGCAAUAUGUGCAAUUCCUGCCGUUUUGGAAUGUGUGGUACUUCCAUAAUGUGGAUGCUCAGCCGUUUGUGUGGAUUUUACCGUUGCUAAGGCAGGGUUGCUUAUGCUGCAUUUGGUUAAGGGUGUGAUCCUUAGAGACAAAACACAUUGGCUACUAAAACUGCACCAGACAAGAUGUGUAAUGAUAACUCUAAAGGUGCAUUGUGGCAGAUGUGAGCCAGAUUUCUUAUUUAAAACACGCAGAAAAAGACUAGCUAACAUCAGCACCCGAAUGUGAAGAGGUCAAUGUCUUGCUCAGAUAUUUACUGAAAUUAGCAUGCUAACCAGCUAGCCCCGGCCUGGGCUGUCUUGUUGUACCUGGUACCUCAACAGUUAUUCACCGUUUCAACAUCUCUGUCCUCAGUUCAUUAUAAAGAACCAAAUUAUUAUUUGAUUAAGUAGACAACUUUUCAUCGCGGUCGGCGCCUCCAGGAGACGGACCUUCAGUUAGCGAUAGUGGCACCAGAACGCUGGCUGAUCAAUUACGGAGUCGGGGCUGUUCCCUCCCGUUUUUUUACCCCGAGUAUUGAUUCCUGGCUGCGGCACGUUUUUGGGAAAGAGGGUGACACAUGUGCAGUAGAGGGUGGACACCCGACCCGAGCCCGUCGGUACCCGUCGGGACUGUAUUUAAAAUAUCUUAAUAAGUAGUGAAGUCAACAUCUGCUUCCCAUGAUGUAGAACCUCGGUUCCCAAACUGGGGUACGCAAAGUGGUUCAGGGGGUAUGCAGGGAGAAAAUGUCCGCGAUAACAGAAAACAGACGGAAUUCGCAGAAUGUACCGUUUGAAACAGAAAUUGCAACUUUCGGACGGAAACAUCAUUUUGUGCAUCAAAAUCGCCCAAAUUCCCCUGUAUUUGGUCCUGCAAGGCUUUAUUUCUUUCUUAUAAACUAGAGGGUGGAUACCCGACCCGAGCCCGUCGGAACCCGAAUAUAGUCUGGCUCGGGUCGGGUUCGGACAAAAUAGUUUAAAGGCUUUCUGACUCGGGCCGGGCUCGGACAGAAAAAGUCGGCCCGAUCCAUGCAGUGAGCCCAGGCGCUGAAGGCUUGCACCUGGCGCUAGAAAUAACGUGGUGGUGUUUGCUCACGACACUUUGACAUGUAGGAGCCGCAGAUCCAACUGCCAACCUUGUAGUUAAAGCACGAUCCGCUCUAUCCCCCGAGCCACACGCGCAUCAGUGUGCCUCUUUAUUAUUAUUUGGUUCCCACUUUGUUUUUAUGUUUUCUCCAGCAUGCCAUUCGUCUAAAUGCAGACGGAUUCACGUCAGCUACAAGGAAGCACAACACGUCAAGUAAAUGGAGGCAAGGCACAUAAUCACGUGAACAAUCACCUGUCCUAAACCGGCUUUAUGGGGGACGCAUCAUGCUUAUUUUCAAUGAUUGUAGGUGUCUGUGUACAUCUUUAUGUUGAUUGAGCACUACCACAGUAUACUUUUUAUGCAAUACCUAGACUGCUUAGUAAUCAAAAAGACAUUUAAAUCCCACAUUCUACAACAAGAUACCUUUAAGAUAGAGACACUCUAAAAAAAAUCUAAAAAUGAGGCAAGCAAGAUUCUUGAAAAGCAUCAACAACUCUUCGAGGUUUUUAUAUCGCAGCCUGCUUUAAUGAGGCCAUGGUUUGAUGAAUUGACAUACAAGAUAGAAUAAUUGUAAGGUAAAUGCAGCAAUAUGAACAAUAUUGUUGAAAAAUGUGGACAGAUAACAGAAAUACUGAAAAAAAUGAUUUUUAUUUGACAAAUAUCCAUAAAGUGAAGCUGAACACAGACACACACACACACACACACACACACAAAUCAAGCAUUCACAUAUUCACAAGCAUAACAUACUUCAUUCCAUGUGAUUACAGUCCCUGAGUAUGAAUUCAUGACUUUAAGUGGAUAAAAACUUUACAUGCCUACACAUGCAAAGUGGAGCACAAACACAUUCCACAGAUGUCUCUUGGGAUGUUCUUUUUACGACAUGUGGCAUCUACUUUCAGGGCACAAGGGAACAGAAGCAGACUGUUUGUGUCUAAAAACAAAUGUCUGUCCACUGCGCCCAAGCCAUAAUAAAGUCUGAGCUGCCCCAGCGAGGGAUCGCUUCCUGGUGAGAAUAACCGCAACGUACAGCGUGUACAAAGGAGGGGAGUAGCUUCCAUCCAGUAUUCACACAGUCUCUCUGUAAUCAAUCUUGUUUAAUUAAAUGUUUCAUAAUUUGCUAUGGUACUCUUUUUUUUUUUUUGGGAUUCCAUCAAAGGCAGCUUUUCAAAAAUGAUUUUCUAUAUUCUCCCUGUGGUUUCCAUAUAUUAUUUUCCUUGUGAUUCUUUAUGGAUAAUUGCGAGAUGCAGCAGCCAAAAGCUCCUUCUCAUUCCAAGUCCAUCCAAGCUCACCCUAUAGUUUCUAAUAUGAAGGCUCUACAAUUGUCUGUUUUGGGCAGGCUUGCAUGCACGGCACAUUACUGCCAAACAUACACAUGGCCGUCAGCAUGUCCCUUUUUUCUUUAUCUGAAAUUUAGUACACAGUAGAAAUGUAUUCCGAGGAUCCAGAUGGUGGAGGCGGGCAUCCUGUUCAUGGGUCAUCAGUAUAAACGCAUACACAACGUAGGAAAGUAAAGGUAUAGCCAGCACUGGCACCUGGAGAGGAGCCCACGGAGGCUUUUAGUGGGUACAGAACUUACUCUUAUAUUUCUUGAUACAAAUGGUGAAUGUAUAAUCACUCAUAUUCUAUUUGUAGUAUUGCUGUCAAACGAUUAAAAUAUUUAAUCACGAUUAAUCACAUUUAUGUCCUAGUUAACUCAAAAAAUCCCGAUUGCAGAUUUUUAUCUGUUUUAAAUGCCCGUUCAUUUUUUUUUUCCAUAAUCUUUUUUCAUUUUAAUGCUCUUAUCAACAUAGAAAAGUGGAUUGACUUUGCAUUCAUUUAUUUAUUUAUUAUAUUGAAUAACAUUGCCAAACAGGGCGGUACAAAAAGACAAAGUGCACAUUUGAGGUAAACAAGGACAUGGCCUAUAGUAUACCGUUAAACCAUGGCUUAAUAUUUCCUUCAUGUGUGGACCACCAUUCCUGGGGUCAUUCAUCCCAAAAUUAAAUAAAAAAGUUUAUCUCGUAAUACAAAAAAUCAUCGUUGUUAAAAUGGGUUUGUAUUAACGUUGUUAAUAACGCAUUUAACUGACAGCGCUAAUUUUUAGUUUAACAAGCGUUUGAAAACAGCAUAAAGGUGUGACUAAUGAAGGUGUUCUGUUACCUUUAUACCGGCUUUAAAAGAUCAUACCACCUUAAGGAACCCAUCUAAUGGACAUGGCUUCAAAUGAUUCCCACAAAACACAAUCUAACACAAAAUGAAUUCAAACAAAAUGAACCUUGACUAUCAUCCAAUUACAGAUCUGAAUCUGCUCUAUCAAACUGGCGGGAUCUAGUUGUGUAGUACUUUGUCUUCUUGUCUACAUUGUCUUCUUGUCUCUGUAUCUUGUGUAGCUGGUUGUAAUGUUAAACUGAUUAUUAUUGUGCUUGGACUGGUGAUUGUUUGAACUACCAGUCAUCCGCUGCCCCACUCAUCAGAGGUAAUGCUACAGGGACACACAGGUUCAGAUUUUAAUGGCCACUUGUGUGUGUGUGUGUGUGUGUGUGUGUGUGUGUGUGUGUGUGUGUGUGUGUUUAGUCUGCUGUCACAGGGAGCGUGGUAACGGCGUUGUGACGGUGUGUCUUCACCCAUUGGAAGUAAGUAACCCGAACGCAUUAUUGCAUUCAUCCUUUUUGGUCAUGAUGGCAAUGAUGCAUUUCAAAGAUAUUUCUUUGUGAUCUGAUCAGCAAACAAACGUCUGUAUGGAGCCAAAUCCAGGUCAAAAGUUUUGUUCAUUUGAAAAACAAAUGUGAACCUAAAAGUUUAGGUUUUGUAUUUGAACGUUGAAAAAUACAACGCUGUAUUCAAAAUAAAAAUAAGUGAAAAUAUAAAAUCUGCAACCGAAAAAUAUAAUACAAUCAUAAAAGAAAUGUGAAGAUUGAAAAAGAUUGAAAAAGAAAUAUAGAGCUGAGUCAAAACUAUAUUCGUCCUGAAAAUAUUUUUCGUUUCUUAAACUUUCCUCUUUGAUUGUGCCUAUAGUUAGGGCUGGCUCAGGUUAGCCCGGACCAGCCCUUAGUUAAGCUGCUAUAAGCUUAGAAUGCCGGGGGAAUUCUUAGGACACACCGAGCUCCUCUCUCACGCUCUCGUUCUACCAUAAUUCAAGUUUUAUUAAUGCACAUGACUAAUUCAGCUUCUUUCCGGGAGUUUUUUUUUUGUGCUUUCUCCCCUAUCAGGUCUCCGUAGAUCGUGGUUCCUUCGGGACCCUGGUCCUGACACCUGCUGUGGCCAUGCUGACGCCUGCUGCUGCCAUCAUCAUCAUCAUCAUCAUUAUUUUAGAUAUUAAUCAUAUUACUGUACUCGUAAACCAACAUUACCCUCUCCUUAAGUCUCUGUGCUCUCCCUCCCCACAGGCUUCUGUGGAUGGUGGUUCUAUGUGAUGGUGGUUCUAUGUGAUGGUGGUUCUAUCUGAUGGUGGUUGCCCCUGCAGUGGUCCUGCUGUGCGCCUGGCUUACUACUUACAAUUACUUGAAUCAUUUCUGUCAUAGGAGUUGCAUGUAUUAUACAUUGUUCAUUCUCUACACGUGGCAUCCAUUGUAGUCUGUCCAUCCCGGGAGUGGGAUCCCUCCUCUGACGUUCUCCCUAAGGUUUCUUCCCUUUUUCCCUCUUGGAAGGGUUUUUUCAUUUUUUGGGGAGUUUUUCCUGUGCCGAUGGUGGGUUUCGGGACAGAGGAUGUUGUAUGUGUACAGACUGUAAAGGCCUCUGAGACAAAUUUGUAAUUUGCGAUUAUGGGCUAUACAAAAUAAAAUGAAUUGAAUUGAAUUGAAAGCAUUCACAUCUAAUUUUGAAAUGUUUCAUUCAUAUUCAUUUAAGAAAUGGCAGCUCAAAUUCAUGAAACCUUUCUUUUCAACCUGUGUUAGUUUUUUAUUAUCAAUGAAAUAAUUAAUCAUUUCAAUGAAUGUAAUUAUUCAGAAACCUUAAGCAAGAACAUUCCUGCAUGUUAACCCACCACCUUCUGAACGCGCUGCUCUAUUAUAUCUAUUCUUCAUCAGAAUAUACUGAUUAGAUGUACAGUAAAGAUAACCGUUACCUUUGGCUCUUUUUUUUUCAUUCUGCCAAGCGUGUGGAAAAGAUGAUAGUGAGGAGUUAUCAAGGAAAUACCACAGAACUCAGACACGCCCCCCUCCUUUCCCCUCGCAGAAACAGACAGAAAUGGAAGCUUUGGGGUUGGGGGAGAAGAAGUGAGCGCUAUAGAGCAUCAAGGGAUAAUUAUGGUUAAUUGCUGCUUUGUGGAUGUGAAGUCUGCAUGCAAAGAAAGUGACUAACCUCGGGCUUUAGAAACCUUUACGAGGCACACGGGAGAGCUUUGAAAUACACAAAGUGCCAUUGAGUGUUUAUGACAGGUGGGGAUAUGAAAGCCACUUUGAGAUUAUGAAAGGAAUGUCUACUACUAGCUACUAGUUCAAUUUUACGUCCCUGUGGUUUGAUAUUGUCUCCGCAAAUACUUUGUAGAAUCAGUAACUCGGAGAGCUGAACUUUACUUUGCAAACACGGGUUGUUGGUAUCGUUGUGGACUUUAAGGUUUCUUCCUAAAGUGAGACAUGUUAGAAGUGUAAAAUGAAAGGUGAAAGUAAACACUUGUGUAACGCUCACAUGUCCAGAUGCUGUUGAGUACUGUCAGUUUUGAAAUGCUAGUUUGUGUUGUUGUCAAACUUCACAUCCCAAGAGAGCUGAUCUGACCAACUUCUAUCCAAACAGGGCUAAGAGGCGCUUCUGGCCAUCACAAUUUGGUUGCAAAAGUCCAAAGACGUUACUUAUCCCUAUUAGGAGUAAUUCUGAUAUUAGUUACGCUUCAUCUUCAUAGUGAUAAUGUGACACCAAAGAAUAAAAGCUGUAUUACACUAACCAGACAAACUUGUUCAUAGUUUAUGUUUAAUCUGAUACUUUACAGAAUGUUAUUAUGUGGUGCAGCUGUUGUCAUGUUCUCCACAGAUCCCUCAAAGAUGAAUCAAGCAUUCACUGGUUCAAAUGUUGCUUUUCUGGAGUAUUUCUUCUGAUUACCACCACGUUGGAUUGUAGGUCCCUCAAGGGACACCAGCAGCUUGUCAAUCAUCUAGACUUUCACACCUGCAGUCGGUCUGCGUUCUGCUUUUGGAGACGGCUGCAGAGGUGCACCUUUUGAUAAUUUGCCGUCAUCAUAUUUCAUGUGCUAAAAAGGUCAAAAGAUUGGUUGACAAGUUUUGAAAUUGUUACCAUUGGAAACAUGGCAACCUUUCUUGUUAAAUCUUGACGUAGUGAGAUAUAUAUCUUAUUCCUCUGUGCCAUAAGGGACGAGCGUGGCGCCUGGAGGAGGGUGUGCCGGUAACCUCAGGGUUUGACGGCUCGAACCCCGGCUGCUCCAUACAACUAGAUGUAAAAUAU
This is a long non-coding RNA of Gasterosteus aculeatus aculeatus (three-spined stickleback), 7227 nucleotides long. The record is from Ensembl. NCBI's taxonomy places the organism in Eukaryota, Metazoa, Chordata, Actinopteri, Perciformes, Gasterosteidae.